GGAGUAGUACUCAAGAGGCUGAAGAGGCGCCCCUGCUAAGGGUGUAGGUCGGGUAACCGGCGCGGAGGUUCAAAUCCUCUCUACUCCACCA
Molecule: transfer RNA, 91 nt
Filed under: Kurthia huakuii
Lineage: Bacteria; Bacillati; Bacillota; Bacilli; Caryophanales; Caryophanaceae
Also listed under: 2 other names
Description: tRNA-Ser
Rfam family: tRNA
About the family: Transfer RNA (tRNA) molecules are approximately 80 nucleotides in length. Their secondary structure includes four short double-helical elements and three loops (D, anti-codon, and T loops). Further hydrogen bonds mediate the characteristic L-shaped molecular structure. tRNAs have two regions of fundamental functional importance: the anti-codon, which is responsible for specific mRNA codon recognition, and the 3' end, to which the tRNAs corresponding amino acid is attached (by aminoacyl-tRNA synthetases). tRNAs cope with the degeneracy of the genetic code in two manners: having more than one tRNA (with a specific anti-codon) for a particular amino acid; and 'wobble' base-pairing, i.e. permitting non-standard base-pairing at the 3rd anti-codon position.
Source: RNAcentral